UAAGACGGCCAUAGUGAUUUGGUACCACCUGUUCUCAUUCCGAACACAGAAGUUAAGCUUUUCACGUUGAUGGUUUUAGUGGCAGACCAGCUGCGAACCCAUUAAGCUGUCUUAU
This 115-nucleotide ribosomal RNA is filed under the name archaeon. The record is from RNAcentral.